Molecule: long non-coding RNA, 681 nt
Organism: Alexandromys fortis (reed vole)
Lineage: Eukaryota; Metazoa; Chordata; Mammalia; Rodentia; Cricetidae
Exons: 3
Source: RefSeq, a predicted model, not a curated record
UGAUCAUGAAGUUGUAGCAGGAGUUCUGGAACGGCACCCAUGGCGUGUUCUGCACAGGAGGCGGACACUUAAUGCUGCUGAACGGUUUGACCUCCUUUUCCGUCUCAUCUAGGAAGAAGGGUUAGCGAUCAUCAGAACUGUGAGUUGGAGGCCAGAAAGCUAACGCGGAGUGCGGAGUCCGUGCAUGGGGAACAAUGGCGGCAACAUGGCAUACUAGGAAGACAGAAAGCUGGCUGUGCGCAGCAGUGCAAUCACAUCUGAGCUUCUGAUGUAUACCAAAGGAUUGUAUCAAGUGGCAGGCUGUGGGUAUUAGCUCCUUUGACAGUCCUUGCUGUCCGUUCCAGGUUCCACGCCUCUCUCUGACUUGUUCCCGGUCCCCUGCUCCUUCCCGAUACUCACUACAGUGUCCUGAGCCUUGCUUCACCCUUCUGUCCCAACCGCUGGCUUUUGGAUGUCUCCAAUACUUAAAUGACACACUGCUGUCACCUGCUCUGGAUUUCAUAUAACCCAGAGCUGCUGUGCCUGAGAUACGGUGAACAUGCUCUACUUCAUGUCAACGUUAUUUUCUUUAAAGACGUAAAUAAAAACGACUGUCCCCACAGCUCAGGCUCCCUGCUGCUCCCGUUCUCGCUAUACUUUCCUAGGUAGUGUCAUGUUAUUAGAAUAAACAGUUUCACAUCA